RNAcentral lists this long non-coding RNA (5075 nucleotides) under Sparus aurata (gilthead seabream). RNAcentral's name for it is "lncRNA (ENSSAUG00010027672.1)". The record is from RNAcentral. Lineage: Eukaryota; Metazoa; Chordata; Actinopteri; Spariformes; Sparidae.
AGUCCACAGGACAUCGACCACAUGUACAGCAAGAGGCCUUACAGCUUUCCACCCAGAGAGCAUGUUAAUGUGAGUGAAGAUUAACCCAAGAGAACAACAUAUCCAGUGUUCACAGCUGUGCACUAAGCCAUGACUUUGUGUGUCUUGAUUAAGGACUAUAAUGACAGCAUGGACUAACAUGAUGUGGUCACCACAACCAGAGACGUUGGGAUCCUGAGUGAAGACGCAUCUUUCCACAGGCUUGUGAUUUUAGGAAAGGGCUCAGCAAGCUGAACACCAUAGAAGAGUCACUAGUGACCUUCAUGUAACGUUCAUCACUCAGGAUAACGGUCUGCUGCAACAUCUUGAAGCGGUCAUCACAUGAAAAGUUGCAUCCUCCUGGGCAACAUCAAAGUGCAGGGUGAUCAUCUUUGAGGAGGAUGAGCAGCUGGACAGAGUGCUGGGCUUCUUCACAAGCCUGGUUGAAGCACAGACAACCAGGUGUCACAAUCACGUGGCAUUUGUUAUGGAUGUGCUUCUGCCAGAGGCAACAGUCCACGCCCUUUCAGCUGUCCAUGCAUGUUCCAUUGACAGAGCCACAGAAGUGUAUAAAUGUGGACUGCAGUAUGACUUGAGUGAAAAACGGCUGUUGGCUCAUUACAUGACAAACAACAUGAGCAAGGAGGCAAAACAGCAACUAGAAAAAUAUGCUGAAAAACUCAGAAGAGCUCUGGACUCUGAGGAGCUUUUAAAGAGGCUUUAGUAUGUAUGUACGGUGAAUUAAAAAAUAGUCUGUGAAAUGAUAAUGUUUUAUUUUAUUGCCAAUAAAAGUUGUUGCUGGCUAAUUCAUUUGUCUCAACUUUUGUGUUUUGAGGUACAUAUUUUAAAGACCUGUGUAUGGUCAUAUUUAUAAAUACAUAAAUACAUUUUAUUUGUGUCAAAGGGCCAGCAGUCUUUUCUGUUAACCCAUAAGAAAUCAUCACCUUAGAGUGAUAAUUAUGGCAUCUGAUGUAGUAGGCCAAGCUCUGUGACAGUGUGGCUCUUACAAAAACGGCUGGUGGAAACAACAUUUUAAUCGAAAUGACUACUACUAAUUAUUAGGGCCCGAGCAGGGAACCUGCGAGGUCCCUAUUGAAAUUGUAAUGAUUAUUCUUCUUCUUUUUUUUUUUCCUUUGUCGAAAAUGAUCGCAUUUUUCACUGCCUGAACAUAUCCCAAAACUCACCAAACUUGGAAUAUAAGUCAGACCUGGCGAAAAAUUUUAUAAUCUAUUGUCGUCCUGAAUUUCCACCACUAGGUGGCGCUGUUAUUAAGGAAAGCGCGUUUUGGCUAAUAACUCCCAUAAACUUUGUCGCACAUUCAAAAACCUUACAUCCACGCGUUCAGUGGAUUGUGCUGAAUCUCGUGGUAUAGGCCACGCCCAUUUCCGCCUACCGUUUUUUUUCGCUACGUCGCAAAAUGUUGAAAACCUACUUUUUCGAACUCCUCCCAGGCGAUUUCACCGAUUUGCACGAAACUUGGCACACAGCAUCUGUGGACCCUCCUGACAAAAAGUUAAGGUCCCUAUUGAAAUUGUAAUGAUUAUUCUUCUUCUUUUUUUUUUCCUUUGUCGAAAAUGAUCGCAUUUUUCACUGCCUGAACAUAUCCCAAAACUCACCAAACUUGGAAUAUAAGUCAGACCUGGCGAAAAAUUUUAUAAUCUAUUGUCGUCCUGAAUUUCCACCACUAGGUGGCGCUGUUAUUAAGGAAAGCGCGUUUUGGCUAAUAACUCCCAUAAACUUUGUCGCACAUUCAAAAACCUUACAUCCACGCGUUCAGUGGAUUGUGCUGAAUCUCGUGGUAUAGGCCACGCCCAUUUCCGCCUACCGUUUUUUUUCGCUACGUCGCAAAAUGUUGAAAACCUACUUUUUCGAACUCCUCCCAGGCGAUUUCACCGAUUUGCACGAAACUUGGCACACAGCAUCUGUGGACCCUCCUGACAAAAAGUUAUUAAAGGAUUCUAAUUAAAAUAAAUAAUUUUGAAGUUAUUAAAUAACAAAUUCCUGCAGAUUUGGCUCAAAACAGGAAGUGUUGGAUAUUUCCACAGUAGUCUUAUCAAAUGACAUGAAACUCAGGAUACUACUUCCCCAUGAGCCCCUGAGGCCCUGUGCAAAAUUUUAGGUGAUGACCACAAGGUGGCGCUCUUUAAAUUGAUGUAUUUUAUAUCUCCACAACGGUGCAUCGGAAUAAGACGAAACUUGGUAGAUUUAUUGUCAGUGCCCUCCUGAGGACAUCUGACAAAGGGUUUACCGAUCCAACACUAGGUGGCGCUCUGGCGUCACUUUAAUUGUAUAAUUGGCCCUGUGCCCACACCAUAACACUUAUGGAAAUGAAAUUCAUAGAGGUGCUAUAGAAUGGCCCCUGUGACUCACUCACCGAAAAUGACCACCAGGUGGCGCUAUUUUCAAUGCAAAAGCGUUUUUGGCUCAUAACUCCCACUUAAUAUGUUGCAUAUUAUAAAACCUCAUCCCUUCGUGUUCCCUGCAUUCAGCUGAAUUGUUUGGUGUAGGCCACGCCCACUUUUGCAGUAACUUUCCGUUUGCAAAAUCGCGACAAAAGAAAAACGUACUUUUUCGAACUCCUCCUAGAGAAUUUGACCAAUUUGCACCAAACUUUGCAUGUAGCAUCUGUAGACCCUCCUGACAAAAAGUUAUCAAAAGAAUUUUGAUAGGCCUUAAAACGCCUGAAAUAUAACAUGACAAAUUCCUGCAUAUUGUGUUGAAAACAGUCAAUCUUGCAUAUUUUUACAAAAUACUAUCCGAUCAUCACAUAAAUGUUCAUAAUUGUGUGGUAUCGCCUAUUGAUGGUCUGUGUAAAAUUUGGUGCAAAUCGGCCCUUAGAUGGCGCUCUGGUCGCAGUCUAAUCAUUUUGAAUGGAAAGUAAAUGGGGAAAUCUUCAAGUCCUCUUCAAAACUCAUCGACCUUCAACCUCUCCUUAUCCCUCAUACUUUGAGCUAGACACACCAUUCUAACUUUUAAAGAGUCAGAAGACCUCAAACUAUUGGGCAUGUAUUCAGUUUUUAAAGCACACGUUAGCCACACCUGGCCUGCUAUCAUCAUCAACAGCGUCAGCAACAGAGUUUUGUCCAGUGUUAGUUUUGUAGAAGCGUGUGCCUUUUAGAGAUGCUUCAUUAGAUCAGAGUUGCUUACAAUGGACGUGGACAAAUGAGAUUAAAACAGUGUCUGUACUUCCAUUUUGAAAACAUCAACUUUCCCUCCGGACUCGCCAUAGCCGCAGUUCCCCUCUGCUAGUUUGAGUGUGUGAUGCUGCUGUGUGCGUGUGUGGCUUGUGUGUAAACAGAACAUUGCCACUGAUUGGCUUAAGAACUCUCACUCAAUGUUAGGGAGCCAAUCAUCAUCACUUAUGCGGUUGUCUCGCUCCUCCCUCCUCCCUCACCGGAGGAAAAAAAAUUUCAGACCAUCGACUCAGUCUUUGUCCGGGGAAUUAUGCAGCAGUUCGCACAAUUUUUCUGACUUCAGCGUGCAUUAUUCACACCGACAAUAGCAGGCCACCGAAUUAUAAAGCAACGACUUCCUCAGCGGAAGGUGUUGCUUGAGCAAGCCCCGACGGCAGCAAGCCCCGACGGCAGCAUGCAUCGACAGCAGCAGGCCCCGACGCGCGUGGACUGCGAGGGCCCGUUCAACGCUGCUUGCAGCUUUAAUUAUUAUUAUUACUGUAAAUAUUUUAUUUUAUUGAGUUUAAAAUAACCUUGUGCACAUACAUUAGUCACUUAUAUAAAAAAUGAAAAGAUGCAUGCACCAGAUUUAGCAGGCCUAUCUAAUCUUUUAUCAGAUUAAUCUUUUAUCCCAAUCUUUUAUUUUUUUUAUUACUUAACUUUCUAUUUUUGUAUAUAUUUAUUGUUUCAAGCACAUUGUUUGCAUUGAAAAGCAUUUAAUGUUGUGAAUCAACCGUUAAAGUUGUUAAAAAUGAUCUGGUUAUUGCUUCGUUUCCUUUGUGUUUGCUUUCUAAGUGCUCAGGGCCUCCACAGCCACCGUAGUGUUGUAUGGGCGUGUUUUGUAGGGGGCGUGUUUUGUAAUGGGCGUGGUUUGGAGCGGCUCUGGCUUGGCUGCGGCUGCAGCUAGACCCUUCUCUUGAUUUGGGCGGGGUCUGAGCCGGUCGGCCAUGAUGGUAGGAGACGCUAUCGGUUGUCAGGGGCAACGCCUGCAGAACUUCACAGAGGCGCGACUAAACAGUCCAGAGCUCUUUAAUUUCUGCGCAUUUAUUAUUUCGGCGGGACAGAGACGGAUCUACGAAUACGAGAAAGAAAAGGAAGAAAGUAAAGCAAUGCAAAAAGAUAAGGCGAAAGAAAAGGGACCUUACAGGAACAAGCUCACACCAAGCGCAUAACAGCGGUAUUUGGAGAAGCUCUCGGACAUCCAAAAUAUCGACCCAUACGAGCUCCCUGCAGAGGAAUGGCACAGAGACCUGGAUCAUUUACCUCCAUGCACAUACAUGGACAUCGUCAGUUACCUUGUUUUUGGUGUAAGUUACUACACAAUGCAGGAGUUUAAAAGCCACAAGUCUUUGGAAAGUUACGAGACUUUCUGCUGUGGCUGGGUGCAGGACUUGGCCAUCUACAAGCCUCCAGGUGGUGAAAACAGCGUUGUACUGGCAAAAAGACAUUUUUAGAGAACGUACCCGAGUGUAAAUGCAGAGGCAAUACUGAAGCAGUUUUUAACGCAGCAGUGACUACCAGGCAUGGUAAAACAGUGCGGAAUUGUAAAAACCUCCUCUACUACAGAGUUAAGAACACACGUAAACAAUCGUGUUUUGCCGCCGGCAUCCUGCCAUCAUGGCGGAGAGGGGGAAGAUCCCGCGAGAUCGAGGGAGGGGCUUUGUACCAUGACGACAACUCCUCACUCUCAAUAAGUAAAAAUAUAUUUGCGAGAGACUUUUCAUUUCGAAUAUUACGGACUUUUGGAAGAAAGUGUGCUCAUUCAUUUAUAGGCUAAAUAUAAAUAGCUAUUUUAUCAUAUUUGUCUUAAAUCCAGCUUCAUGAUAGCAGGUAAAGCACAUCCUGACAGCUUGGAAUACUACUGUCAGAUAUUGUUUACUCCUG